CCACCCCCUCCCUGUCCAGAGCUCAGCCUGGAUGAGAACUGUACAGAGGCCCAGGACGGGGAGCUGGACGGGCUGUGGACGACCAUCACCAUCUUCAUCAGCCUCUUCCUGCUCAGCGUGUGCUACAGUGCCACUGUCACUCUCUUCAAGGUGAACUGGAUCUUCUCCUCAGUGGUGGAGCUGAAGCCGACCAUCGCCCCUGACUACAGGAACAUGAUCGGGCAGGGGGCCUAGGCCACCUCCUGCAAGGGGCCCAGGGCCUCCCAGACCCUGGAGGACCAUCCAUCAUGGCCAGCAGCCUGGCUCCCCAGCCACACCUGCCCUUGGACCUCAUUGCCCUCUGACCCUGCGACUCACUGACCCUGCAGCCCUGCUCCUGCCCUUUGGAGGACCUCUGGAGAGCAGGCUCUACCCCCAGACUUCAGCAGCCUGGACACAGACCACCCCUGGCCCAAGACACUGGACAGGGCCAGCAGGGGACAUGUGCACCUCACCAGGACAUCGCUGCCCUCAGGGGGAAAGCCACUCACCCGAGAGGAGGCCGAGGUCAGCUUGCUGAAGUCCACCAGGGCAGAGACAGCUUCGCACUGACCACUCCAGCCUCCCCACUGCAGGGUUUCUUGAGAGAGAAGGUGAAGUCCUCAGAACACUGAGUGGGGACCUCUCACCUGAGCUGGGAAGCUCUGGGCCAACACUCCCCAACAGGGGAGCUUCGGGAAGGGCUUCCUGCGGUCACUCAGAUGGCCUUCACUCCCGCCCGUGCCGUGCCAAGCCCCAUCUUGGGUCAUUCUGCAAACCCCGAGUCUCUCUGGCUCCUGGGAAGCAGCCUCCUGUGUGAUGGGGUCUCUGUGCACUGGCCCCUCCUUUGGCGCACCCGCUUCAGAGGUGGGGUUCUACCCACAGGACAGCACCUUGGACCCUCUCUGCAUGGGAACAACUAGGGAUGGGUCCAGGAUGCCACUUCCCACAGUGGGACCCAGCUCCACACCAGGGAGACCACUCAGAAGGACCUGGGCACAUGUGGCCAUUCCGGGAGGCCUGGCGAGUGCUAGGGCAGAGACCACCUGAGAGGGUGGGCAUCAGCCAGGUGUCCCUCUAGGAGAGCACUGGACAGUGUCCAGGCAGGCCAGGCAUGGACUGAGGCUGCUGAGGGCACCAGGCAGGUGGGGCACAGGAGGCCAGGACACAGCCAGGCCACAGACGGCGGGUGGACCAGAGCCCCUCCAGAGAGCCCAGGGCCUGGGGAGCCAUGGCUGGCGGGCAGUGACGACAGACAGAGGGCCCCAGGAUCUGUUUGUGCCAUCACUACUCAGGAGCGAACACCGAGUCAGAGUUUCCAGAGAGGAAAAGACACAACAAACAGCAGAGGGGCCUCCCCAGGUGGGCUCAGGGCAGUGGCCCAGGACCUGCACACUUCUGGAUUUAAUAGGAGAGAACAGAGGGUCCUCCCAGGGGGGCUCAGGACAGUGGCCCAGGACCUGCACACUUCUGGAUUUAAUAGGAGAGAACAGCAGGACCUCCCAGGGGGCUCAGAACAGUGGCCCAGGACCUGCACACUUCUGGAUUUAAUAGGAGAGAACAGAGGGGCCUCCCAGGGGGGCUCAGGACAGUGGCCCAGGACCUGCACACUUCUGGAUUUAAUAGGACAGAACAGAGGGACCUCCCAGGGGGGCUCAGGACAGUGGCCCAGGACCUGCACACUUCUGGCUUUAAUAGGAGAGAACAGAGGGGCCUCCCAGGGGGGCUCAGGACAGUGACCCCAGGACCUGCACACUUCUGGCUUUAAUAGGAGAGAAGAGCAGGACCUCCCAGGGGGGCUCAGGACAGUGGCCCAGGACCUGCACACUUCUGGAUUUAAUAGGACAGAACAGAGGGACCUCCCAGGGGGACUCAGGGCAGUGGCCCAGGACCUGCACACUUCUGGAUUUAAUAGGAGAGAACAGAGGGUCCUCCCAGGGGGGCUCAGGACAGUGGCCCAGGACCUGCACACUUCUGGAUUUAAUAGGAGAGAACAGAGGGUCCUCCCAGGGGGGCUCAGGACAGUGGCCCAGGACCUGCACACUUCUGGAUUUAAUAGGAGAGAACAGCAGGACCUCCCAGGGGGGCUCAGGACAGUGGCCCAGGACCUGCACACUUCUGGAUUUAAUAGGAGAGAACAGAGGGUCCUCCCAGGGGGGCUCAGGACAGUGGCCCAGGACCUGCACACUUCUGGCUUUUAUAGGAGAGAACAGCAGGACCUCCCAGGGGGGCUCAGGACAGUGGCCAGGACCUGCACACUUCUGGCUUUGGUAGCUUUCUCCUUCUAGUUUACAGGAACCCCAUAAUGUCUUUUCAGGUUUUUUCAGAGUGACAUUAAACAUCCUUUAAACAC
Non-coding RNA from Marmota monax (woodchuck), 2371 nucleotides. The record is from the annotation of a RefSeq genome assembly. Lineage: Eukaryota; Metazoa; Chordata; Mammalia; Rodentia; Sciuridae.